AUUCCGUGAUGGGGACAUUCUAGGAUGUAGUCUUGGAAGCGCUCCCAUGCUUCUAGAACAGAUUCAUCAUGUUGUUGCUGAAAACUUGUAAUCUUCCCACAGAGAGC
RNAcentral lists this small nucleolar RNA (107 nucleotides) under Sorghum bicolor (sorghum). RNAcentral's name for it is "Plant small nucleolar RNA R71". It matches the Rfam family "Plant small nucleolar RNA R71". From Rfam's summary of the family: R71 is a member of the C/D box family of snoRNAs containing the C (UGAUGA) and D (CUGA) box motifs. The record is from Rfam by way of RNAcentral. Lineage: Eukaryota; Viridiplantae; Streptophyta; Magnoliopsida; Poales; Poaceae.